Molecule: ribosomal RNA, 305 nt
Filed under: uncultured bacterium
Lineage: Bacteria
Description: bacterial SSU rRNA
Rfam family: Bacterial small subunit ribosomal RNA
Source: RNAcentral
CCUACGGGGGGCAGCAGUGGGGGAUAUUGCACAAUGGGGGGAACCCUGAUGCAGCGACGCCGCGUGGGUGAAGAAGCGUUUCGGCGCGUAAAGCCCUGUCAGCAGGGAAGAAGAAGGACGGUACCUGACCAAGAAGCCCCGGCUAACUACGUGCCAGCAGCCGCGGUAAUACGUAGGGGGCAAGCGUUAUCCGGAAUUAUUGGGUGUAAAGGGUGCGUAGACGGGAUAACAAGUUGGUUGUGAAACCCCUCGGCUCAACUGAGGAACUGCAACCAAAACUAUUAUUCUUGAGUGCAGGAGAGGAA